Molecule: ribosomal RNA, 2414 nt
Filed under: Klebsiella pneumoniae
Lineage: Bacteria; Pseudomonadati; Pseudomonadota; Gammaproteobacteria; Enterobacterales; Enterobacteriaceae
Description: partial 23S ribosomal RNA
Rfam family: Bacterial large subunit ribosomal RNA
Source: RNAcentral
AAAAAGAACCUGAAACCGUGUACGUACAAGCAGUGGGAGCACCUUCGGGUGUGACUGCGUACCUUUUGUAUAAUGGGUCAGCGACUUAUAUUCUGUAGCAAGGUUAACCGUAUAGGGGAGCCGCAGGGAAACCGAGUCUUAACUGGGCGUUAAGUUGCAGGGUAUAGACCCGAAACCCGGUGAUCUAGCCAUGGGCAGGUUGAAGGUUGGGUAACACUAACUGGAGGACCGAACCGACUAAUGUUGAAAAAUUAGCGGAUGACUUGUGGCUGGGGGUGAAAGGCCAAUCAAACCGGGAGAUAGCUGGUUCUCCCCGAAAGCUAUUUAGGUAGCGCCUCGUGAACUCAUCUUCGGGGGUAGAGCACUGUUUCGGCUAGGGGGUCAUCCCGACUUACCAACCCGAUGCAAACUACGAAUACCGAAGAAUGUUAUCACGGGAGACACACGGCGGGUGCUAACGUCCGUCGUGAAGAGGGAAACAACCCAGACCGCCAGCUAAGGUCCCAAAGUCAUGGUUAAGUGGGAAACGAUGUGGGAAGGCACAGACAGCCAGGAUGUUGGCUUAGAAGCAGCCAUCAUUUAAAGAAAGCGUAAUAGCUCACUGGUCGAGUCGGCCUGCGCGGAAGAUGUAACGGGGCUAAACCAUGCACCGAAGCUGCGGCAGCGACACUAUGUGUUGUUGGGUAGGGGAGCGUUCUGUAAGCCUGCGAAGGUGACCUGUGAGGGUUGCUGGAGGUAUCAGAAGUGCGAAUGCUGACAUAAGUAACGAUAAAGCGGGUGAAAAGCCCGCUCGCCGGAAGACCAAGGGUUCCUGUCCAACGUUAAUCGGGGCAGGGUGAGUCGACCCCUAAGGCGAGGCCGAAAGGCGUAGUCGAUGGGAAACAGGUUAAUAUUCCUGUACUUGGUGUUACUGCGAAGGGGGGACGGAGAAGGCUAUGUUAGCCGGGCGACGGUUGUCCCGGUUUAAGCAUGUAGGCUGGUUGUCCAGGCAAAUCCGGAUAAUCAAGGCUGAGGUGUGAUGACGAGGCACUACGGUGCUGAAGUAACAAAUGCCCUGCUUCCAGGAAAAGCCUCUAAGCAUCAGGUAACAUCAAAUCGUACCCCAAACCGACACAGGUGGUCAGGUAGAGAAUACCAAGGCGCUUGAGAGAACUCGGGUGAAGGAACUAGGCAAAAUGGUGCCGUAACUUCGGGAGAAGGCACGCUGGUGUGUAGGUGAAGUCCCUGCGGAUGGAGCUGAGACCAGUCGAAGAUACCAGCUGGCUGCAACUGUUUAUUAAAAACACAGCACUGUGCAAACACGAAAGUGGACGUAUACGGUGUGACGCCUGCCCGGUGCCGGAAGGUUAAUUGAUGGGGUUAUCCGUAAGGAGAAGCUCUUGAUCGAAGCCCCGGUAAACGGCGGCCGUAACUAUAACGGUCCUAAGGUAGCGAAAUUCCUUGUCGGGUAAGUUCCGACCUGCACGAAUGGCGUAAUGAUGGCCAGGCUGUCUCCACCCGAGACUCAGUGAAAUUGAACUCGCUGUGAAGAUGCAGUGUACCCGCGGCAAGACGGAAAGACCCCGUGAACCUUUACUAUAGCUUGACACUGAACAUUGAGCCUUGAUGUGUAGGAUAGGUGGGAGGCUUUGAAGCGUGGACGCCAGUCUGCGUGGAGCCAACCUUGAAAUACCACCCUUUAAUGUUUGAUGUUCUAACGUUGGCCCCUUACCGGGGUUGCGGACAGUGUCUGGUGGGUAGUUUGACUGGGGCGGUCUCCUCCCAAAGCGUAACGGAGGAGCACGAAGGUUAGCUAAUCCUGGUCGGACAUCAGGAGGUUAGUGCAAUGGCAUAAGCUAGCUUGACUGCGAGCGUGACGGCGCGAGCAGGUGCGAAAGCAGGUCAUAGUGAUCCGGUGGUUCUGAAUGGAAGGGCCAUCGCUCAACGGAUAAAAGGUACUCCGGGGAUAACAGGCUGAUACCGCCCAAGAGUUCAUAUCGACGGCGGUGUUUGGCACCUCGAUGUCGGCUCAUCACAUCCUGGGGCUGAAGUAGGUCCCAAGGGUAUGGCUGUUCGCCAUUUAAAGUGGUACGCGAGCUGGGUUUAGAACGUCGUGAGACAGUUCGGUCCCUAUCUGCCGUGGGCGCUGGAGAAUUGAGGGGGGCUGCUCCUAGUACGAGAGGACCGGAGUGGACGCAUCACUGGUGUUCGGGUUGUCAUGCCAAUGGCACUGCCCGGUAGCUAAAUGCGGAAGAGAUAAGUGCUGAAAGCAUCUAAGCACGAAACUUGCCCCGAGAUGAGUUCUCCCUGAGACUUUAAGUCUCCUGAAGGAACGUUAAAGACGAUGACGUUGAUAGGCCGGGUGUGUAAGCGCAGCGAUGCGUUGAGCUAACCGGUACUAAUGAACCGUGAGGCUUAACCUUACAACGCCGAAG